RNAcentral lists this ribosomal RNA (309 nucleotides) under uncultured bacterium. Its description in RNAcentral is "bacterial SSU rRNA". It matches the Rfam family "Bacterial small subunit ribosomal RNA", at positions 30 to 342 of the family's 1533-position model. The record is from RNAcentral.
AUUAAACGCUGGCGGCAUGCCUUACACAUGCAAGUCGAACGGCAGCACGGGGGCAACCCUGGUGGCGAGUGGCGAACGGGUGAGUAAAGCAUCGGAACGUGCCCUAGAGUGGGGGAUAACGUAGCGAAAGUUACGCUAAUACCGCAUAUUCUGUGAGCAGGAAAGCAGGGGAUCGCAAGACCUUGCGCUCUGGGAGCGGCCGAUGUCGGAUUAGCUAGUUGGUGGGUAAAGCCUACCAAGCGACGAUCCGUAGCGGGUCUGAGAGGAUGAUCCGCCACACUGGGACUGAGACACGGCCCAGACUCCUAC